Molecule: long non-coding RNA, 1337 nt
Filed under: Ornithorhynchus anatinus (platypus)
Lineage: Eukaryota; Metazoa; Chordata; Mammalia; Monotremata; Ornithorhynchidae
Description: lncRNA (ENSOANG00000048995.1)
Source: RNAcentral
CUGACAGCUCUCUCACACGCACCCCACCCCACCCCCACACCCACCCAACACAUACCCGCUCAUCUUUGUUCUUACACCAGGGCAUGCUAAUCUCUCGAGUUUAAUGCACACGCAUACAAACACACAAAAUCACAAUCAUAUUAACACACACUUCACAGUCCCGUACCUACCCAUGUAGAGACUCAGGCAAACACACAUGCACAGCCCCCCAUUCACAUGCGGAUAGACACACUCGCUCUCAUAGACAGACACCCACGGGCACACUCCCAUACAGGCACACGCAGAUGCCCUCUCACGGACCCGGGCACACUCUCAAAAUACAAACACCCCCCGCACCAGCUCACAUAAACACUCUCAUCUACGGACUCACCCGCUCCCUUACGGGCACCAAGACACCCACGCAAUCCCAUACAGCGGCAAAAAUCACACACAGACACAAACCCACUCUCCAAUGCAAACAACACACACGCACACUGAUGCGUGCUUCCAUAUAGGCAAGCACACAAUCCCAUGCGGAGGCAGACUGGCACACAGGCACGAACCCACUCUCUAAUGCAAACACACACACACACACACACAGAUGCAUGCUUCCAUAUAGGCACGCGCACAAUCCCAUGCGGAGGCAGACUGGCACACAGGCACAAACACAUUCUCCAACGCAAACGCACACGCACAUGCUCGCUCCCACAGGGGCACACGCACAAUCCCAUGCAGAGGCCUACUUGCCCCCGGACGCAAACACACGCUCUCAUACACAGACACUGGCGCGCGUACUCUCAUGCAGACACACACACACACACACACACGCAGAGUGUCUGGCUUCCUGUCCCUCAAACACACACCCCCCCGACCCCCCCGACACACACACACACACAGAGCCGGCUGCUGGCCCUCCCUCCCUCGUUUCCCUCGCCCCUCCCUCUCCUCUGCCGCUUCCCCUCCCGGCCGCCCGGUCCCCCCCGGUCCGGUCCGGUCCCCCCGCCGGUCCCCUCCGGCCCGGCCCCGGGAUGGGGGGGGCUGUGAGGCUCGGCCCCCGGAUGACGGCCCGCAGGAGCCCGAGACGGAGGGGGAGACGGGGGGAGGCGGCCACCGCCCUGCUGCCCCCGCUGGCCCUCGCCCUGGGCCUCUCUCUGGCCUGCUUCGGCCUCCUGCUGGUGGCUGUCAGUUUGGGGACCCAGGCGUCCUCGCUCCCCCAGGAGACCCUGAUGGAGGAGCGGGAGCAGGAGGAGGAAGAGGAGGAGGAGGAGGCAGAGCAAAUGCGUUCUCAGGGGGGCCCUCCCCAGGGCCCAGCCCCUCCCCUGAAGAGGAGAGUCCGCCCCCCCCCGAAGUGCUGCUAA